CCUACGGGGGGCUGCAGUGAGGAAUAUUGGUCAAUGGACGAGAGUCUGAACCAGCCAAGUAGCGUGAAGGAUGACUGCCCUAUGGGUUGUAAACUUCUUUUAUAUGGGAAUAAAAUGUUCCACGUGUGGCUUUUUGUAUGUACCAUAUGAAUAAGGAUCGGCUAACUCCGUGCCAGCAGCCGCGGUAAUACGGAGGAUCCGAGCGUUAUCCGGAUUUAUUGGGUUUAAAGGGAGCGUAGGUGGAUUGUUAAGUCAGUUGUGAAAGUUUGCGGCUCAACCGUAAAAUUGCAGUUGAAACUGGCAGUCUUGAGUACAGUAGAGGUGGGCGGAAUUCGUGGUGUAGCGGUGAAAUGCUUAGAUAUCACGAAGAACUCCGAUUGCGAAGGCAGCUCACUGGACUGCAACUGACACUGAGGCUCGAAAGUGUGGGUAUCAAACAGGAUUAGAUACCCGUGUAGUC
This 460-nucleotide ribosomal RNA is filed under the name uncultured bacterium. RNAcentral describes it as "partial 16S ribosomal RNA". It matches the Rfam family "Bacterial small subunit ribosomal RNA", at positions 338 to 795 of the family's 1533-position model. The record is from RNAcentral.